This 254-nucleotide ribosomal RNA is filed under the name uncultured bacterium. RNAcentral's name for it is "partial 16S ribosomal RNA". It matches the Rfam family "Bacterial small subunit ribosomal RNA", at positions 524 to 776 of the family's 1533-position model. The record is from RNAcentral.
UACGGAGGGGGCGAGCGUUGUUCGGAUUUACUGGGCGUAAAGGGUGUGUAGGCGGUUGCGCAAGUCUGGUGUGAAAUCUUCACCGCUCAACGGGAAGAGGUCACUGGAAACUGCGUAACUCGAGUAUGGUAGAGGUCAGCGGAAUUCCUGGUGUAGCGGUGGAAUGUGUAGAUAUCAGGAAGAACAUCUGUGGCGAAGGCGGCUGACUGGGCCAUCACUGACGCUGAGACACGAAAGCGUGGGGAGCAAACGGG